This 72-nucleotide transfer RNA is filed under the name Sphaerobolus stellatus SS14. RNAcentral's name for it is "tRNA-Tyr". The record is from RNAcentral. Lineage: Eukaryota; Fungi; Basidiomycota; Agaricomycetes; Geastrales; Sphaerobolaceae.
CACCUAUAGCUCAGUUGGUAGAGCACCCUAGAUAUUGUGGGAAGGUCCUAGGUUCCAAUCCUAGUGUGGUCA